AAUGAACUAGUUUAAACAAAAACAUUAGCCUGUCAGACUAAAGUUAUUUUCAUAAAUGUUCAUUA
This 65-nucleotide transfer RNA is filed under the name Alloeorhynchus bakeri. Its description in RNAcentral is "tRNA-Asp". Lineage: Eukaryota; Metazoa; Arthropoda; Insecta; Hemiptera; Nabidae. The record is from RNAcentral.